Molecule: long non-coding RNA, 381 nt
Organism: Esox lucius (northern pike)
Lineage: Eukaryota; Metazoa; Chordata; Actinopteri; Esociformes; Esocidae
Source: Ensembl
ACCAGGAGAGGGCAGGUGUCUAACACCAUGAGAGGGCAGGUGUCUAACAUCAGGAAGGGGCAGGUCUAACAUCAGGUUAGGUCAGGUAUUUAUACCAGAAAAGGUCAGGUCUAACAUCAGGUUAGGUCAGGUUUUUAUACCAGGAGGGGGCAGGUCUAACACCAGAAGAGGGCAGGUCUAACACCAGGAGAGGGCAGGUGUCUAACACCAGGAGAGGGCAGGUGUCUAACACCAGGAGAGGGCAGGUGUCUAACACCAGGAGAGGGCAGGUCUAACACCAGGAGAGGGCAGGUCUAACACCAGGAGAGGGCAGGUCUAACACCAGGAGAGGGCAGGUGUCUAACACCAGGAAGGGGCAGGUCUAACAUCAGGAGAGGGCAG